GCUUACGGCCAUACCAGCCCAAGACGCCCGGUCUCGUCUGAUCUCGGAAGCUAAGAAGGCUUGGGCCUGGUUAGUACUUGGAUGGGAGACCUCCUGGGAAUACCAGGUGCUGUAAGCU
Molecule: ribosomal RNA, 118 nt
Organism: Denticeps clupeoides (denticle herring)
Lineage: Eukaryota; Metazoa; Chordata; Actinopteri; Clupeiformes; Denticipitidae
Source: Ensembl